GGGUGUGUAGCUCAGUGGAAAGCACUUGCCUGUGCCUAGCAUGUGCGAGGCCCUGGGUUCCAACCCCAGCACCACCA
RNAcentral lists this transfer RNA (77 nucleotides) under Heterocephalus glaber (naked mole-rat). It matches the Rfam family "tRNA". Rfam says of the family: Transfer RNA (tRNA) molecules are approximately 80 nucleotides in length. The record is from Rfam by way of RNAcentral. Lineage: Eukaryota; Metazoa; Chordata; Mammalia; Rodentia; Bathyergidae.